RNAcentral lists this ribosomal RNA (465 nucleotides) under uncultured bacterium. RNAcentral's name for it is "partial 16S ribosomal RNA". It matches the Rfam family "Bacterial small subunit ribosomal RNA", at positions 28 to 507 of the family's 1533-position model. The record is from RNAcentral.
GAUGAACGCUGGCGGCGUGCUUAACACAUGCAAGUCGAACGGAAAGGCUCCUGCUUUCAGGGGUACUCGCUUGGCGAACGGGUGAGUAACACGUGGGUGAUCUGCCCUGCACUUCGGGAUAAGCCUGGGAAACUGGGUCUCAUACCGCAUAGUACUGUGGUUUGCAUUCCAUUGUGUAAAGUUUUUCGGUGUGGGAUGAGCUCGCGGCCUAUCAGCUUGUUGGUUGGGUAAUGGCCUACCAAGGCGUCGACGGGUAGCCGGCCUGAGAGGGUGUACGGCCACAUUGGGACUGAGAUACGGCCCAGACUCCUACGGGAGGCAGCAGUGGGGAAUAUUGCACAAUGGGCGCAAGCCUGAUGCAGCGACGCCGCGUGGGGGAUGACGGCCUUCGGGUUGUAAACUCCUUUCGCUAGGGACGAAGCGCAAGUGACGGUACCUGGAGAAGAAGCACCGGCUAACUACGUG